UGCAAACAACAAGAUCCAGGUGUUGGUUUGUACAAGUACGUUAGCAUGGGGUGUAAACCUUCCUGCACAUUUGGUUGUUAUUAAGGGAACAGAGUUUUAUGAUGGGAAAGCAAAAAGAUAUGUUGAUUUCCCAAUCACUGAUAUAUUACAAAUGAUGGGUCGAGCUGGUCGUCCACAAUAUGAUCAACAUGGGAAAGCUGUUAUUCUUGUUCAUGAACCCAAGAAGAGCUUUUAUAAAAAGUUUCUAUAUGAACCAUUCCCAGUUGAAAGUAGCCUGAGAGAGCAACUUCAUGACCACAUCAACGCUGAGAUUGUUACUGGAACAAUCUCUCAUAAAGAGGACGCUAUGCAUUAUCUCACUUGGACCUACUUGUUUCGUAGAUUGAUGGUUAACCCAGCUUACUAUGGCCUAGAGCAUGCAGAACCUGGGAUUCUAAAUUCUUAUUUGUCUAGCUUGGUGCAAAGCACAUUUGAGGAUCUUGAAG
This 485-nucleotide unclassified non-coding RNA is filed under the name Hevea brasiliensis (rubber tree). The record is from RNAcentral. Lineage: Eukaryota; Viridiplantae; Streptophyta; Magnoliopsida; Malpighiales; Euphorbiaceae.